RNAcentral lists this ribosomal RNA (390 nucleotides) under uncultured bacterium. Its description in RNAcentral is "bacterial SSU rRNA". It matches the Rfam family "Bacterial small subunit ribosomal RNA", at positions 28 to 420 of the family's 1533-position model. The record is from RNAcentral.
AUUGAACGCUGGCGGCAUGCUUUACACAUGCAAGUCGAACGGCAGCGGGUCCUUCGGGAUGCCGGCGAGUGGCGAACGGGUGAGUAAUGCAUCGGAACGUACCGUGUAAUGGGGGAUAACGUAGCGAAAGUUACGCUAAUACCGCAUACGCCCUGAGGGGGAAAGCGGGGGAUCGCAAGACCUCGCGUUAUACGAGCGGCCGAUGUCGGAUUAGCUAGUUGGUGGGGUAAAGGCCCACCAAGGCGACGAUCCGUAGCGGGUCUGAGAGGAUGAUCCGCCACACUGGGACUGAGACACGGCCCAGACUCCUACGGGAGGCAGCAGUGGGGAAUUUUGGACAAUGGGCGCAAGCCUGAUCCAGCCAUGCCGCGUGCGGGACGAAGGCCUCGG